CAGAAGCACACAUCAGGAUUCGCUUCUGCAAGGUGUGGGUGAGCUCUGGCAAGCUGGGCCCAGAGGCAAGGAGAGAAGCAAAGUCCUCCCCUUGUGAGAACAGUGAGGGUGGAAAGCAAACAACAAGAGGAAGAAGCAACCAUACAGCAUUGAAAGCGAAGCCUUAUCCAUCAUCCACGUCAAAGGGGCUGGAAAGGUCCGAAUCCACCUGAAUGACAACUAAAGUUUCGAGAAUGGGAAUGCAAAAGGGGAUUCAAAGCCACCUGCAUUCCUCGGCCCAUGGCCCCUUCUACCAUCUUUGAAGGCAGCAGCAUAGCACAUCUUCGAAUCUCUCUCUGGCCCUGAAACUCUUGUCUGUGUCUUAUGAGGACCCUUGUGACUACAUUGAGCCCACCCAGAUAAUCCAGGAUAAUCUUCCAGCCUCAAGAUCCUUAACUCAAUCACAUCUGCCAAGUCCCUUUUGCCAUAUAAGGUAACACACAUUCACAGGUUCUGCAGAUUAGGAUGUGAACAUCUAUGGCAGGGGGAGGGAACAUUAUUCUAUCAACUACACCUUGGGAAUCACAUAGCAUAGCAUCAUGUCCACAGUAAAGACUGGUCAAAAUUGUCACAGCCAGCUCAGAUUCUAGAGUAGGGGUCAUAGACCCAACCUCUCAAUGGAAGGAGUGCCAAUAAAUGUGUGGCCAUGUGGCCUUGGUUUGAAACUACCACGCCUUUCCUGUUGUGGCUGCUCCACAUUGGCUAACGGGGGAGGAGCUUCACCCCCAUUUUUGACUCAGCAACACGAACAUGAAAAGAGAUGGACAGUCCAGCAGACAUUGAAAGGGGGCAAAAGAUACGCCAUGCAGUUGCACUUCGUGUAAAUUUUAAAUAGUAUCACAUACAAAAUUAAUAAACCUUCUCUUUAUGCACAGUUGAAGCCAAGAAAAUCUUACUUUAUAUUUAUUCCUAACUGAAAACUAGACUCGAAUUGUGCAAGUUUUA
Molecule: long non-coding RNA, 984 nt
Filed under: Homo sapiens (human)
Lineage: Eukaryota; Metazoa; Chordata; Mammalia; Primates; Hominidae
Description: HSALNT0005687
Source: RNAcentral